This is a long non-coding RNA of Mytilus californianus (California mussel), 329 nucleotides long. RefSeq lists it as uncharacterized. NCBI's taxonomy places the organism in Eukaryota, Metazoa, Mollusca, Bivalvia, Mytilida, Mytilidae. The transcript has 3 exons. The record is from RefSeq and is a predicted model, not a curated record.
GUUCGCAUCCAUGCUACAGACAGAAUACAGUUUAUGGAAGAGUAAAUGAAGAUGGUAGUCCAAUAAUUCCUGGCCUUGUAAGAGAAAAUAAUAGAACCACCAGUGUUUUUACGUUGCAUGGAAGACUUCUCUUUUACCAGGAAUGUUAUGCUAGAUCUGGACUUUUCACGGUUAUAAGACGGAAUAACGGUACACACGAUUUAUACUCAUGCGGUAAAACUGUUGUCACAAAUGGAUUUCCAGACGUGAUAGCGUCAUUUGUCACAGAUUUGAAGAUUUUUCAGAAACCUCCUACGAUAUGUGAUGUAUGUGAUGGUAAUUUCAUUCCG